This is a long non-coding RNA of Phyllopteryx taeniolatus (common seadragon), 627 nucleotides long. RefSeq lists it as uncharacterized. The record is from RefSeq and is a predicted model, not a curated record. NCBI's taxonomy places the organism in Eukaryota, Metazoa, Chordata, Actinopteri, Syngnathiformes, Syngnathidae. The transcript has 3 exons.
GGAAUUAGCAACAAGAUUGAAGGGGGGAUAUGGAAAUGCAUGGAGCUCAUUCUGAAGGAAAUCAGAGGUUGGAGGAGGAUGAGACGUUUGGGUGAGGAGGCAAGAAAGAGAACCAGAAUUGGAUAAUUGGUGCAUAUGUGCAUAAAUAAAGGUGACAUGCUUCAGAGUAAUGUGUGCUUGUGAGCUGGAUGAAAGAGAAGAGCUUGGAAGGAUGAGGGAAAAGGAAGAAUUCCACACCAAGAAUAAAGCGGCACACAGAUAAGUUCAUCUAUUUGCAGGACGGAUGUAAAGCGUAAACGGAAGGGAGCACAGUACGGAGCUUUGAGGUUUGCCUUGGUUGACAGUUGCUAUGGAAGGGAGUUUGGUGGUAGGUCUUAUUGUAAGUAGCGCAGGCAUGGAAAGUGUCGGGAGAGCUGAGAGUUGGACGUGGUGGUUUGGUUCAGUGGUUGUUGCGAAGGAAGGAAGGUUGAGAUGGUCCGCAGGUUGUUAGGCUUGUCUCUGUCCCGAGCAGCUCUUUGUUUUGAGUUGUUUACAGUGCAGGCUUGGAAUGAGCAAUUUAUCAUCUUGAUCAACACAAAACUGAAUAGUGGUAUUUUAUUCAAGGUGAAAACCAACAAUUGUACACAA